GCGCGGCGCCCUACCUGAAGCAAUAGCCGCCUGCUCUCGGCGCGGCCCGAGCCCCGGGGCUCCCGGCACUUGGGCGGCGCGGGGGCCGGGGGGCUCCCCGGGGCCUGGGGGCUGCAGGGAGGCCCGGGCUCCAGCGCCUCGCAGCACACCAAGCUCACGGUGCAGCCCAUCCGGCCGGGGCGCCAGCCAGCCCCUCGCCCUGGCGUCCGCUCGGCCCAGGGAGCCUGCGACGUCGGGAGGGGGACGGCGACACCCCCAGCCCGUCCCCUCCCGGAGCCUCCUUGGCCCGCAGCUCCAGGAAGCGGGGGAGCACGGAGUCCGGCAAGGGGCGGUGACACGGGCGCGGACGCCCGGACGCAGCCACGGAAGAAAGACAAGAGCAAGUGACCGUGAUGAGAAGGGGAGAGAACUCGCAGAGCAACAAUUGCCACUACCUCAUCGUCUUCCGCUCCUCCUGCUCUGAGCAAGAUUUCCCCCUCCUCCAGGGUGCUGGGCUGGGCAUGAGUCACUUCGCAGGCAGCGAACUCUGGAAAAGGUUGUGCAGAGCCCUCAGUCACAAAUGACAGGCUCAGGCUGCAGUGCUCUGCUUUCC
This 592-nucleotide long non-coding RNA is filed under the name Balaenoptera musculus (blue whale). RNAcentral describes it as "lncRNA (ENSBMSG00010004291.1)". Lineage: Eukaryota; Metazoa; Chordata; Mammalia; Artiodactyla; Balaenopteridae. The record is from RNAcentral.